RNAcentral lists this ribosomal RNA (250 nucleotides) under uncultured bacterium. RNAcentral's name for it is "partial 16S ribosomal RNA". It matches the Rfam family "Bacterial small subunit ribosomal RNA", at positions 524 to 773 of the family's 1533-position model. The record is from RNAcentral.
UACGUAGGGUGCAAGCGUUAAUCGGAAUUACUGGGCGUAAAGCGUGCGCAGGCGGUUGUGCAAGACAGAUGUGAAAUCCCCGGGCUUAACCUGGGAACUGCAUUUGUGACUGCACAGCUGGAGUCCCGGAGAGGAGGGUGGAAUUCCUGGUGUAGCGGUGAAAUGCGUAGAUAUCAGGAGGAACACCGGUGGCGAAGGCGACUUACUGGACUGUAACUGACGCUGAGGCAUGAAAGCGUGGGUAGCAAAC